CAAAAAGAUUUUGAAAAGAAAGAGCAAAGUACAGUCACAAAACUCAAAAGAAACUUUUGGAAAGGAAACCAAGAUAAGAGAGGGGAAGUGAGGAAAGAAAGCACCCAUAGCAAAAAAUAGGAAUCAACACAAAAGGCAAACAUGUCCAGGCUAGGUUGCUGAAGACAGAACCUUUUCUGGGAUGCUGGUGACUGACUGACGGUGAAGUUUAUAUUGACCAUGACAAUACCUGCCUCAGCAAGAUACACAGUAACAGAGAAGAAACACAACACGAAAUAAAUAAAACAUUAAAAAAAAAAUUAAAAAAAAAAAAAAGUAGUCGGAGUGAGAAGCAUCACAUAGAUGUUUUUCCAUACUGAGAAGACGGUUGGAUUACCCACACUUGUGAUGGAAAAGCACGGCAUUAAUUACCCUCCUUUGUCUCCUUCAAUAGGUCCUAGGCUUUGUAAAAGCCGAGUCCAUGUGAAUUCUCCACGUCUGGCAUGCCAAAGUCUAGAAAGUGCAUUUAAACAGUGACUGAAUAAAUUCCUAGAUGAUGGAUUUGGGUUACAUAAGAGGACAUCUGGCAGCAUCUGGGAUCUGCUGCAGGAUUGAAAGGUCCUGCUCUAUGCCUCAGGUUACAAGUAUGGACAAAAUGGACCAGCUUCAAAAACACUUCUGGAGAAAUACUAAUUGGAUGUACUGCUCUAUUAAUGAUUGCAGAUAAAGGACAAAGAAGACUUCAGCGUUUCCAGCCUGAGUGCUUUGGGAUAUGUUAAUUCUACUGACCAAGGCAGGCCAAUGGGGAGAGAAGGGGAAAGAAGAAGAAUGCACACUUAGGUAUGUUUCUUAUGAGUUCACUGUGAACCAUUCAAGCAGAAAUGUCCAAUAAAUAGGGAUAUGCUCUAGGAGUUAACUGGAUCACAUACUUACACGUGACAAAUCUUGGCCAACACCUCCUGGACUAAUUGUUUUAAAUCAAAUCUACUGAUUAUAAGGGGGUGGGGAAAAGAGUAAGAAAUAAUUAGAAAAGGCAAAUUUUCUAAUGAAAAUUUGUUUGGGAGAUAGAAAAUUUCAAUGGAAAUCUGAGGCUUAGAAAUGUAUCUCUCACUGGACAGCUUAACACAAAGCAAACAAAACCAUGUCUUUCAGGUUUGGCUUGCUUAGAGACUCAGAAAAAUGACAAAGGUUUUAGUCACCAAUAAAUUUAGAUUACUUU
Long non-coding RNA from Hyaena hyaena (striped hyena), 1198 nucleotides. RefSeq lists it as uncharacterized. The transcript has 3 exons. The record is from RefSeq and is a predicted model, not a curated record. NCBI's taxonomy places the organism in Eukaryota, Metazoa, Chordata, Mammalia, Carnivora, Hyaenidae.